Long non-coding RNA from Pipra filicauda (Wire-tailed manakin), 800 nucleotides. RefSeq lists it as uncharacterized. The record is from RefSeq and is a predicted model, not a curated record. The transcript has 3 exons. Lineage: Eukaryota; Metazoa; Chordata; Aves; Passeriformes; Pipridae.
ACGGUCAUCUGCAAGAAAUCAGUUUUCAAAGAAGCGUUUGAUGGACUGACAAUCAUCUGACCCUGGGACGAGAUGAAAUGGUCCAAUUCAAGCUGGAGUGGGACUCGCUUUUCUGGAGAGCACAUGAGUUUAGAAGAGAGUGAUGAAGCUGAAUUUUGGAACCACUAAUUUGGCUUCUGAAGCGUGUUGGGAUCCAGGCUGGCAGUAAUAGCAAAAUAGAAUUUUACACCACGAUGUUGUCACCCCAGUUUGACAAUGAUGAAAACUGUGGCUGUUCAAUAGCUGUUGGAGCACCUGAAGCAUCUGUGCCACAGCAUUCGUGACCACCUUCAGCACAGCUGUGUUGGAAAUGAGGGUGAAGAACUGCCUGAGUCUUGUGGUGACCAAGGCCGGAGGAGACCUUGUUAAAUCACAUCAAAUGAGCCUGGAGGUGCAACGUGGAGAGCUCACCUUGAUGGUGCAGUGGGAUAAGUUCAGGGCUCUGACAUCUCUGGUGUCCACAGCAGACAGGAGCUGUGGCAGGAGAGCUGGCAUCAGACUUCUUCUACCCGAUGCCACAGUGGAUCACUAAACUUGUUGCAAAAUUCCAGCUCACUGGCAGCAAAGCCACAGAUCACCUGAACUGUCCCUGGCACUCACCUAUGUUGUGACUCAUCCUCACUCUCCAGCACAGCUCCUCUCCUGGCUGGUGUGAAUGUGCCUCUCCAGGGGAAAGCCUGGCUUGAACUUGACCUGCUCACAGGAUUCCAGAAGGCAAAGGAAUUCCAGGAGAGGAGGAAAUAAACAUUUCCUAAGUCAGA